GCCUCACUCACUCAACUCCACACUGCCACCCUCCACCCACCUACUCUUAUAUACACUAUUUUGCUUUUUAUAGCCCUGUCGUGUCUAUGGAUAUUAACCAUAGCAUAAGAAAAAAGGAAUACAGUGGUACUAAGAGGAAUAAAACUGAAAGUCUGAAUGUUAAGAGAAAAACAAGAAAACUAUGUGAGGGAAUAUUAGCCCCAGUUGUAUUAACUAUGACCAUUUUCUCUGGAAGGAGUGCAGGCAUUUUUUUUAUGGAAUACACAAUAACAAAUACAUGCUUCUGUCAAUAACCUUACUCAAGUUUAUUAAAUUAUUAUUAUUUAGGUUUUGGGUACAGUCACGCAAUUUUAUUUUUACAAUGGUCCUGAUGGCCCCAUGUUAUGAUCACAGAAAAUACAUUAUGCAAAUUUAACCUCCUUGGAUAACUCAUGCAAGUCAAACAUUGUAAACAUUUGAGAGUCUAAACCUCACUACAUCCACCUAAGCCUAGCAUGUCAACACACACCCUCUCCACACAUUUCAAGAUCAACAAGAAACGACAUCUACAAUGUAAAUAAUCAAAA
This is a long non-coding RNA of Cherax quadricarinatus, 566 nucleotides long. RefSeq lists it as uncharacterized. Lineage: Eukaryota; Metazoa; Arthropoda; Malacostraca; Decapoda; Parastacidae. The record is from RefSeq and is a predicted model, not a curated record.